Molecule: non-coding RNA, 46 nt
Organism: Caenorhabditis elegans
Lineage: Eukaryota; Metazoa; Nematoda; Chromadorea; Rhabditida; Rhabditidae
Source: Rfam
AAGACGGUUUUUUUCAAAACCACGUAUAUUCAACUUUCAGAGCAGU